RNAcentral lists this transfer RNA (75 nucleotides) under Cordylochernes scorpioides. RNAcentral describes it as "tRNA-Thr". It matches the Rfam family "tRNA". Rfam says of the family: Transfer RNA (tRNA) molecules are approximately 80 nucleotides in length. Their secondary structure includes four short double-helical elements and three loops (D, anti-codon, and T loops). Further hydrogen bonds mediate the characteristic L-shaped molecular structure. tRNAs have two regions of fundamental functional importance: the anti-codon, which is responsible for specific mRNA codon recognition, and the 3' end, to which the tRNAs corresponding amino acid is attached (by aminoacyl-tRNA synthetases). tRNAs cope with the degeneracy of the genetic code in two manners: having more than one tRNA (with a specific anti-codon) for a particular amino acid; and 'wobble' base-pairing, i.e. permitting non-standard base-pairing at the 3rd anti-codon position. The record is from RNAcentral. Lineage: Eukaryota; Metazoa; Arthropoda; Arachnida; Pseudoscorpiones; Chernetidae.
GUCCAGGGUAGCCUAGUGGUCGUGGCAUCUGCCCGGUAAGCGGAAGGUCGUGGGUUCGAUUCCCAUCCCUUGACA